RNAcentral lists this long non-coding RNA (2189 nucleotides) under Homo sapiens (human). RNAcentral describes it as "HSALNT0255125". The record is from RNAcentral. Lineage: Eukaryota; Metazoa; Chordata; Mammalia; Primates; Hominidae.
GUGAGCACCACCACGUCUGGCAAUUUUUGUAUUUUUAGUGGACAAGGGGUUUCACCAUGUUGGCCAGGCUGGUCUUGAACUCCUGACUUCAAGUGACCCACCUACCUUGGCCUCCCAAAGUGUUGGAAUUACAGGCGUGAGCCGCUGUGUCCAGCCACCAGCCUCUUCUUGAUGGAGAGACUGACAUCUGUGGCUUCACACCAGGCUCUCUGCAGUGAAUAAGCUUGAACCUGCGUUAUUUUCUAGCUCUGAAACUAGCUGUGAUCUUUGGGUUCUAUCAUUGCCCCAUUUUACAGAUGAAGAAACAGAGGCUUUGGCUGCUUGCCCGAGAUCCUGUGGCUGUUCUGGAGGUCAGACGUCUAAAAUCAAGGUGUCAACAGGACUGUGUUCCCUUCUGGAGGAAACAGAUGAACCCAUUUCCUCGCCUUUUUCAGUGUCUAGGAGCCGCCUGCAUUCCUUGGCUCGUGGCCCCUUUCUUGGAAUCACUGCAGUCUCUGCCUUUGUCACUGAGUCUCCUUAACUCUGACCCUCCCACCUCCCUCUUAUAAAGACCCCUGUGACGAUAUUGGGCAUAUCCAGAUAAUCCAAGAUAAUCUCCCCCAUUUUAAGAGCCUUAAUCCCAUGCACAAAGUCCCUUUUGCCGUGUGACAGAACAUAUCAUAUCCACAGGUCUUGAGGAUUCAGACGUGCACACCUUUUUUUUUUUUUUUUUUUUUUGAGACAGGUCUCUCGCUCUGUCACCAAGGCUGGAGUACAGUGGUGCAAUCUCAGCUUACUACAACCUCCACCUCCUGGGUUCAAGUGAUUCUCCUGCCUCAGCCUCCCGAGUAGCUGGAAUUACAGGUGCCCACCACCAUGCCCAGCUAAUUUUUUAUUUUUAGUAGAGAUGGGGUUUCGCCAUGUUGGCCAGGCUGGUCUUGAACUCCUGACAAGUGAUCCGUCUGCCUCGGUCUCCCAAAGUGCUGGGAUGACAGGUGUGAGCCACCACACAGGCUGGACGUGCCCAUCUUUGAGGGGACCAUGACUCAGCCGACUGCAGCAUGCACAUGCAGUCUCUCUGGCCAUGCUCCUCCCUGCUUUAAAUUCCUCCAUGGCUCCUGUGGACCCCUGGAUGAAGCCCCAUGUGCCUGCCUGUCUUUAGGCCUCUGCCAGCUUCUCUCGCCCUCCUCCUGCCCCCUCCAGCCUCGCGGGCCAUCCCAGCCUUCCCCGCCGUGUUCAUGUAACUUCCCCAGUCUGCAAUGCCUCCCACUUCCUUCUUUGUCUGACCAGGCUAUUUAUUCAUCUGGGCCCCAGCUAUAUUUGUUUCUGCUUACAGGAAGCCUUCACCCCAGCCCUGUUCCCUGCCGCUGUCCCAUGCUUGUGUCUCCAGCGAGGAAGGCUUCUCCGAGCUCCAAAAGGCAUUCUGGAUGCUCUAGUUGAAGGGCAGGUGGGUGGGGGGUGGAGACCCAUCUUGGGAACCUGCCCUUAAGUGUGCACACAAGCAGAUCUCCAAUUCCUCAGUCGCCCCUCAAGAUUCAGGGCUGGUUCCCUAGAAAUCAGGUCGAGGCUGUGCAGCUGGGUGCUGUGCCUGCUAUUGUAUGUGAUACUCAACAAACUUAGGAGGCCCCAUGUUAUAUGCAAGGAAACAGAGAGAGUAAGCCAGUGAUCCAGGGUCACACAGCAAAUGGCAACAGGCUGAGAGAUUUGGUCCCAGGGAGUCUAGCUAUGGAGCAGCAAUGCAUAUAGUCAGUGUCUGGCUUUGAGCCGGGAGUCUCCCACUCACUCAUGAGCUGUGUGACCUCAAGGAGGUUUCUUACCCUCUCUGUGCCUCACAGGCUUUUUAACAAAUUAAAAUCCACAGAAGCCUUAAUAGACAGCGUGGCGUAGCAAUCACUCUGUGUUACCUCGUAUUAUUUUUUCUUUUCUUGAGAUGGGGUCUCGCUUGUUGCCCUGGCUGGUCUUUAACUCCUGGGCUUGAGUGAUACUCCUGCACUGACCUCCGAGUAGCUGGAACUACUACAGGCACUUGUCACUGUGCCCGGUUAGCUUCUAUUAUUAUUAUUUGUUUUGAGAUGGAGUCUUGCUCUGUUGCCCAGGCUGGAAUGCAAUGGUGCAAUCUCUGCUCACUGCAACCUCUGCCUCCCUGGCUCAAGCGAUUCUCCCAUUUCAGCCUCCUGAGUAGCUGCCAUUACAGGCACCUGCCACCACAC